AUUGAACGCUGGCGGCAGGCCUAACACAUGCAAGUCGAGCGGAUGAAGGGAGCUUGCUCCUGGAUUCAGUGGCGGACGGGUGGGUAAUUCCUAGGAAUCUGCCUGGCAGUGGGGGAUAACGUCCGGAAACGGGCGCUAAUACCGCAUACGUCCUGAUGGUGAACGUGGGGGUUCUUCGGACCUCACGCUAUCUGAUGAGCCUAGGUCGUAUUAGCUAGUUGGUGGGGUAAAGGCCUACCAAGGCGACGAUCCGUAACUGGUCUGAGAGGAUGAUCAGUCACACUGGAACUGAGGCACGGUCCAGACUCCUACGGGAGGCAGCAGUGGGGAAUAUUGGACAAUGGGCGAAAGCCUGAUCCAGCCAUGCCGCGUGUGUGAAGAAGGUCUUCGGAUUGUAAAGCACUUUAAGUUGGGAGGAAGAGCAGUAAGUUAAUACCUUGCUGUUUUGACGGUACCAACAGAAUAAGCACCGGCUAACUUCGUG
Molecule: ribosomal RNA, 484 nt
Filed under: uncultured bacterium
Lineage: Bacteria
Description: partial 16S ribosomal RNA
Rfam family: Bacterial small subunit ribosomal RNA
Source: RNAcentral